GAUGAACGCUGGCGGCGUGCCUAAUACAUGCAAGUCGAGCGAACAGACGAGGAGCUUGCUCCUCUGACGUUAGCGGCGGACGGGUGAGUAACACGUGGAUAACCUACCUAUAAGACUGGGAUAACUUCGGGAAACCGGAGCUAAUACCGGAUAAUAUAUUGAACCGCAUGGUUCAAUAGUGACAGACGGUUUUGCUGUCACUUAUAGAUGGAUCCGCGCCGCAUUAGCUAGUUGGUAAGGUAACGGCUUACCAAGGCAACGAUGCGUAGCCGACCUGAGAGGGUAAUCGGCCACACUGGGACUGAGACACGGUCCAGACUCCUACGGGAGGCAGCAGUAGGGAAUCUUCCGCAAUGGGCGAAAGCCUGACGGAGCAACGCCGCGUGAGUGAUGAAGGUCUUCGGAUCGUAAAACUCUGUUAUUAGGGAAGAACAAAUGUGUAAGUAACUAUGCACGUCUUGACGGUACCUAAUCAGAAAGCCACGGCUAACUACGUG
RNAcentral lists this ribosomal RNA (497 nucleotides) under uncultured bacterium. Its description in RNAcentral is "partial 16S ribosomal RNA". It matches the Rfam family "Bacterial small subunit ribosomal RNA", at positions 28 to 507 of the family's 1533-position model. The record is from RNAcentral.